RNAcentral lists this long non-coding RNA (2967 nucleotides) under Olea europaea subsp. europaea. The record is from RNAcentral. Lineage: Eukaryota; Viridiplantae; Streptophyta; Magnoliopsida; Lamiales; Oleaceae.
GGAAGAUCAGAGGGGAAUUACCAUAAUUUAACUAAGUGUCUAAUCUUCUUAACGUUGUGCCUAUUUUGAUUUGAAGCUUUGUUUGACUAGUAUGAGCAUUGAUUCUAAUGCAAGGACAGUUCCUGCACAUACCUAGAUUACUAAAAUUUUGUUGAUCGUGUUGAAUAAAGAAUGAACCAUUGGGUUUUCUUAAAUAUUAGAUCGAACCAGAAUUGUUAUAGGAGUAUGGAGUUUGAUAUACUCGCUGGAAAAAUUAAAUGAAAGCCGAUGUUGAAUCAUUUGGCAAGUUCUAAUUUGCCACCGUGGGUUAGCAUUUCCUUGAACUGUGUAGGACAUCAAGAAAGAGUAUUCUCUUAGUUUCUCUUAGUGCUUGGGCUGAAGAAUUAUAUAUCUGUAAGAAUGGAUGAAACAUAACCAUUGCUGGUUAUUAUUAGCCAUUGGCACGAGAAUAUUUAUCUAUGAUCUCUUUCGAUGCUGUAGUCUUGUUUCAUUUAUUCAUUUUGCUAGUAAAUCCUAAUGAGGACACUUGAAAUCUUCUGGAGUAAAUUGAACUUGAUUUCCUUUUACUCCUGGUGAUAUCUUAAUGGUGUUUGGAUUGCAUUAUCACUUAAUACAGGCAUCUUGUUCUAGAUAUCAGAUUUAAAUCCGUUGUUUGAGCUUUAGAUUUACUGUGCAUGGUUAGGUGUGGGUUGGAGUUGUAUGUCAGUUACACCCCUCGUGCUGCUGAACACGCUUUACUGCAUUUUCUGGAACUUUUAUGUUAAUGUGAAUGCUAUGAUGCACCGCACAUGUCCGACACGAUACGCGACGGAUACGCCUAUGCCAACACGUGAUUUUUAAAAAAAGUAUUGACACGACACGUCUUUAACACGUUGAUUAAACUUUUUAAAAAUCCUCAUUUAUAUAGUAUAAAUUUAGUUUUAUACUUGUUAUUAACUUUUUUUUUGUGUUGAAAUCUUUUAAAUAUGAGUACCUAUUUGUUACUCACUAGUAAGUUUGAGUUAAAAAUAUAAUAUUUUUGAUUAAGAAUGAAAAAUGUUUAUGGUAGAAUGUCUGAGGAGUCUCGGUAUCGACACGUGUCGGACAUGGACACGCUACUCUAAUUGAAGUGUACGUGCUACAGAGUGUGAAUGUAUUGUGCCUUUCGCCUGUCUAAUAUUCAAACUAAGCACAAUCUGUUUCCUCAAAUCUUCUGAAUCAAUCGUGCUUGAAAGUUGCUUCGAUUUUGACAUGCUUGAAAUGACUGAUGUAUAUUGAAUUCUACUGACAUUUUAAAGUCAUAUAUUUCAACGUAUUAUGAUGCUUUUGAGAAAAACUCCAGAUUUGUAAUAAAUUUUCUCCUUGAAAUUCUGUGAAAGGUAAGUAGUCAGCGACAUCAAUUAGAGGAAUAUUAGUUAGCUUUGAUUACUGGAUUGUUUAUUGGCAUUGCUGUGGAGUAACAUGCCCUUUUUGUCAUGGCAAUAUGUUCAUUUCCAUUAUUUAUUUCGGUUUCAUUGGCGUCAAGGCUACUGUGGAGAUAUCGACGCAAAUUGGGAUAGCCUUGGAGGGAGAAAGAGCAAUUGAAAUCUUGUACUUCGGUGUAAGAAAUUGUUAAGUGUUUUCUUAUUCUGCUCAAACUGAGAUCCUCAGGGUUUUCCUGUGGACAAGAUACUCCACAUUUAUAAUGUAUUUUGGCAAGUUGAUUGUGCAAUGGGACUAUCUAUAUUCACAGUUUGUUGGAAUCAGUAUUUCAAUUAUCCUUGUCUCCUUCAGAUUGUUAUUCUCCUGCGUUAAACAAUACUAUGCCUUUCAGCAGGAGAAAAAACAAGACUGUUUAAGGCAGAGAGUAUGCUUACUCUUGAAUUAACUUUCGACUAUUGUAUAUUGUUAUGUGAUUGGGACAGAAUAAGCUUCGGGAACCAUUGACAGUCAUGUUGGAAGCACUUUUAGGGUCGAACGCGAAGCAGCACAGUUCAACCUGCCAUCACUAAAAUGGUUUCAUCACUUGUUCUUCUGGUAAAAUUCUAUAGAACUCUCUUACUUGGAAUUUCCAGAUAUUAUAUAUUAAUACCUGAACAUGCCUUCGCAUCCAGUUUCAUUGACGAUGGUUUGAGAGUAUCUGCUUAACGUUUUAUCUUGAUAGGCCAGCCAAUUUAAUUUAGGCCCUGUUUGUGGCCCUUUAAUUUCAAAAAUUGGAGUAUGGAAUAGUGAUUGAUGUUGAAAUGUGUGAUUAAAAAAGAAUGAAAAGUUUUUGAUUUAUGUGUAAGAUUAUUUUAAUGAAGAAUGUGUGGUUGAAAAUGAGUACUGUAGAAAAAAUAAUGUGGUAGAAUGUGGGAAAAUGGUUGACAAACAAGGGCUUACCUGUUUGUCAAACUAGGCAAGUAAUAAAUAAUCUGUUGAUUAUAAGAUCAUUUGUAUCCGUCUCUAUUAGUCUGUCAAGUUCUUUUGUAAGAUUGCAAUGUUUUUCACUGUUUGUUGCUGCUUAUUGUUUAUCCAGGAAAGAUGGUCAUGUCUGGUAGCCCAAUAAAACAGCAUUCCUUGAAAGCAUCACAUUUUUUUGCAAUGUAUUUGACUAUUUAGGGCUGAUUGUUAAUCCAGGAAAGGAAAACAUGUCCAGUGGCCCAGUAGAAGAGCAUUCUACGAAUACAUCAAAUUUGCUUAACACUGAAUCACAGCUGACGGAAAAUCUGCUCUCCUAUAUCAUCCAAUUCCAGCUCCUACGGGCAUGUACUCUUUCCAACUUCAGUGCAACACCAGCGAAGAAUGUUUCGGCUUUUGACGAGAACAGGGGGAUAGAUAGAGGAACACAGGAGUACUGCCACUGGUUUGAGUAGUGGUGGAUAAGUGGAUGGGAUUUGUGAUUUCAGUGAGAGGUUGGAAGUUGAAAAUCUCAAAAUUCCUUGAGAAUUAUGUACUUCGACACAAGAAAAUAUCAGAAUUUCAUGUAGGAUUAAAGGUGGUGUCCUUGAUGACAACCUUGGACUUUUG